This 6527-nucleotide unclassified non-coding RNA is filed under the name Patiria miniata (bat star). Its description in RNAcentral is "titin-like, transcript variant X1". Lineage: Eukaryota; Metazoa; Echinodermata; Asteroidea; Valvatida; Asterinidae. The record is from RNAcentral.
CACGUACUUUACAGUCGGGUGCUUUUGGUUUCUCAUGGUUCAAUUUUAUAUGAAGAAGUCUGGGCAUAGUUAUUCCCACGGGCGCGGUGCAGGUGGCCAUUUGGUUGGUAAUCGUCAACUUGUGCCACCCUUUGCGUAUUGUUAACGCAUUCAUUAAAAGUUUUAAAGGGAACCAGUACAUUACACCUGUACACACAAAUUGUGUACAUUGUUGAUAAACGGGGGAGUGUUCGUUACAAAGUUGAUAAACCUGCUGGAAAUAGUGUGGAUGUCGUCCUUAUUUUAGAGCCAAGAAAUGUCCAGCCUUGUACAUGUUGGGUGACUGAUGUAAUGCAAGUUGACAUCACAAUCUUCUGAUCACUUUGACCUCGAAUAUUGUGAAAUAUUCAUAAUGUCUACAGAAACUACCUCAAAAAUCCCCACUCAUCAACCGUCUAAACGAAGCCGUGCCCCACCACCCCCAACAAAGAAACCAUCCUUUGAGGAAAACAAAAAUGGAUCCCUAUCUGAACAGGAGAAAGAUGUGUUAAAGAAGAAUGGGAGCCUUGAGGAUGCUGGAGGUACAUCAUCAGGAGAUGAGAGGCAGCUGUCGGUGGUACUACCAUCGGAGAAAAUAGUCAAGGCAUCCGUCAAGAAAGACACACCCAUCUUGGAACUUCUCAUCAUGAUUGCAUCCAAAAACAAACUGAACCCAACCAAUCACACCAUUGCCCAACCAGCUGCAAGACCUAAGGAUCCACCUGUACAGCUCAAACCCACUCAGAAGUUGUCAGAUGUUGUCGGCGACACUGUAUACAUCAUCCGCAGAAACCAGAAGCAGGUCUUUGUAUACAAGAAAGACGAAAAAAAGUCUGCAGUGUACGAGCCCACUACUCGCAUCACUGUCAUCUCGGGUAAGAACCACAAGAUGUGUCUACGUGUAGAUCCUGAAAAGACGCUACAAGAAUUGUUGCCUGUAAUAUGUGAUGAGCGGGGAGUGGAAACGAGUUGUCAUACUCUCCGACUCACAUCUCAACCUCAGGAAUCUCUGGAUAUGAGCCAAACUCUGGAGAAAACGGGAGCCAUUGAGUUUCUUCUGGUUGACUUAAAAGGCCAGCCUGCAGGUUACGAAGGAGGAGAGGUGGAAUUGAUGCCAGAGCAGAGAAAGAAGAAGGGAAGCAUCUUUGGAAAAUUCUCGAAGAAGAAGAAAGGAUAUGCAUUAGGUGGAGGUGAGUUUCAAGAAGACCCAGCAUCACAUGUUGCAGCCCCUGCAGAAACACAUCAACGUUCUCGUCGCCACACCUCUCCUUCCGCAUUCCCACCGUUGGAUGGCCAGGCCCAGUCUGCAACUCAAGAAGAUGAGGAAGGCAACAACACCUUAAAGAAACGUCGACCAGCCCCGCCCCCUCCACCAGGGAAACAUCUGACCAGUGCAUCAGAUGAUGAGAAACUUGAUGAAGAAUCUGGUGGUUCCAAUACUCUAAGAAAGAGGCGUGCCCCAGCCCCACCCAGACCACGUUCUCCUCCUAGAAGAACCGUAUCUGUUGGAGCGGAUUCAGCUCAUCAGAUUUCAGCAAAUCUACCUCCUCCUCGUCCAAUAUCUCCUCCAGUGAGAACCAGCAUCAAUGGAGAGACGCACCUUGUCAGAGAGACUAUCAAAGAAGACAAACCUUCCAGGCCACCCAAACCACCACGUCCCACCUCUAUUAUCAGAGGCACAAGCCUUGAGACUCCACCCCCUACCACUGAACCACCAGAGCCAGUCUUUGUACCUCCACCACCCCCAGACUUGCCCCCCUCCCCAAGUGACCCACAAGAAGAUGUGACUAAGUUAAUAGAGGAGGGGCGACUUAACCAGUCCUUUGAUGAAGACUUGAUGGAUCAGGAAGCUAGGGAAGAAUCACCUAGAGUACAUAGUGAAUCCAUUAGCAGUAGUGUGACAGAGACUGGCAUAGAUGAGGCAUUUGAAGAAGUCAUUGCUAUGGGAGAAGCAGAAAUCGUGGAUAAGAAGGGAGAGCCUUCUGCAGAAUCACCCCGUCAAGAUUCUAUGGGUGUGGAGGUCAUUGUAGCUGGAUUGACCUUGGAAACAAAGGCAGAGAGGCAUGAGGAGGGGGCGGAGCUUAGGGAACCGGAGGAGGAGGCAAAUCCAGAGGAAGAGACAAUAGAUGAGGUGUCAUCGGAGGACAUCAAAGAGAAAGACAAAGACGCUAAAGCCAAGAUGGAAUUGCUUUCUCACAUGAUGAAGAUGAGUCUAGAUGAAGACAGCAAGGAUACAAAUGAUUAUCCUCCUCACACCCAGGCUGAUGACACUCAUGAUAUGCUGGAGGAGAAAUCAGUCCAUGCUCUUGCUUUUGAAGUAACCAGGGAAGCAACGAUAGAUUAUGAGGAUGCAGACAAAUCUGUUGAAGCUCUAGGAGAGGAAACUGAAGAUGUGGCUGAGGUUGAAGAAAGUCAGAAGAAAGUUGAUGAUGAGAAGACAGAGUCUGCACAAAUGACAGUGGAAAAGAAAGAAAAAGUGGAUGAAAGUCCAACGAAAGUUGAAGAUGAAAAGCAAAGUCCAGUAAUAGCACCAGGAGGAGUAGCAAUGCAGAAGUUAAAUGAACAAUAUGCAACACUGCAAGAACAACUAACUGCCUUACAGAAACAGAUGGCUAUGCCUCAACAAGCAGGCAUCAUGGAAAUACAGAUGCAACAACUUCAGCAGCAGAUUCUGCUACAGCAGCAAAUUAUUAGUCAGAUGAUGAUGUCACCUCAGCCAAUGGUAAUGCCUCUUCCAUACCAACAGCCAGUGAUAUCGCCACAGCAACAGAUGAUGCUAACUCCACAACAGAUGAUGUCACCCCAACAACAGAUGAUGUCACAACAAAUGAUUUCUCCACAACAACAAAUGAUGACACAACAAAUGCUGUCACCUCAGCAACAGAUGAUGAUGUCCCCUCAGCAACUCCUGAUGACCCCUCCGAUGAUGUAUCCUCAGGUUUCACCUGUUUCUCAAAACAUCACACAACCAAAAAUGUAUGCACAACAAAUAACAUCUACUGCUACUGUUCAGGCUCAGUCUACUCCCAUCUCAUCAACACUUGAGCUGAAUGUUUCAACAGAGUCUGCUCAAGACGAUGCUUCGCCAAUUCAAGAUGAUGGCUCUCCAUCUAAGGAUGAUGUCUCUCCAUCUAAGGAUGAUGGCUCUCCAUCUGGGGAUGAUGGCUCUCCAUCUAAACAUGAUGAUGUUCCAACCGAAGAUGACCUACCCAUUGUGGAUAAUGUAGUAACCAGUGAAGUGGAUACCAGUGAAGUUCAAGCUGAGCCAAGACCUCUUUCACCUCCAGUGAAAGCAGAUGAAGUGUCUGUAGGUCAUCCAACCUACCAUUUUGCUCGAUCACGAGAUGUUCCUCAAGGUGAAAUCAAAGUUGUCAAAGCAUCCCCACCAAACACUCUGCGAGGUCCUAAACAGCACCAGAGACCAACUCUCUUACAAACACCUGAACCCUCUGAAAAGAAAGAAGAGACUGAACCUGAAACCAAGGACCACUCUAAUAUUGAUGCCAAGACAAAUAACGCUGCAGACGAAGUUCAUGCAGAAGUGGAUGCUAAUCAUAAUCCAACACCAGAAGGCAAUGGCAUUGAAGACAAAGUUGAUGCGUCCAAGACAGAAGACAAAGAUGAUGCAUCCAAGACAGAAGACAAAGUUCAUGCAUCCAAGACAGAAGACAAAGAUGAUGCAUCCAAGACAGAAGACAAAGAUGAUGCAUCCAAGUUAGAAGACAAAGUCCACGCAUCCAAGACAGAAGACAAAGUUCAUGCAUCCAAGACAGAAGACAAGAACGCUUCAGAAGAAACUUCCUCCAUCAGUGCAUUUGCAGUUGCUGAAUCCACUGAGCCAGUGUCUUCCAGUAAACCCAAAUCACCCAAACAAAAGAAAUCAGGCUUCAGUUUAUUUAAAAAGAAAACACCCAAGUAUUCAUACAUCUUGUCUGCGCAGAAGGAGUUCUCAAGAAAGUCUGAGACAGAACGCCAACGUACAACUUCCAAUCCUCCUAAACCGACUGACCUCAAAUCAGAAGGUGGUCAAGGAAACAGAGAUCUUUGGCCAAGGUAAUCCAUGACAUGUAGGAGGUUAUCACCAUGGCAACAGAUGCUUAUUAGUCACCAGGUCGUUUGCCGGGUAUUCCAUGACACACAGGAGGUCAUCACCAUGGAUACGGAUGUCGAUUAGUCACCAGGUAAUUUUUUUUGUAUAUGCAUUUGUGAGACAUGUUUUCUCUGGGAGUCUAUUUUGUAUAACAUUCAGUACUAAUGAAAAUGAUUAUUGGCUCAAUAUUUAAACAAUAACUGUUAAUGUUUCAGAGAAAAGAAAUGACAUUCAUUAUUUUGUAAAUAUGUCAUUAAAAAAGUGGGUGAGAAUGUUAUUGUACUUGAUUGUAAGAGAUGUACUUGAUUAUAAGAGAUGUAAUUUGAUAAUAUGGCAUUAUCCAUUUGAUUAUUUUAGUAGGUUAUGUGACUUUUUAUGUACAUCAACAUUUGAUAAGUGAAGCACCUAUGCAAGCUUGUCAUAAAUACCAUUGACCAACACAUUGGAAGUCCUGAAAUUAUUGUUUGUGUUGACCGCAUAUUUUGAAAGUACAAUGUGACUUCCAUGUAACUGAAUUCCAUUGCCAAAUCUAAUUGCAAAUUAACCUUGCAUGACAACUAGUCAUUACUUUGAAAUUAGUUGUUCACUUAACUGUAUCGACCAAUUUUUGUUUUGCUUUUGGAAAUGAAGUUACUUGAAGAAACAAAAUGUUGUACCCACGCUUUACUGUUUAUAUUUUUUAUUAAAUAAAUAAAGAAAUGUAUUGUUUUUUUGCUGAUAUCUACAAGUAGAUAUUUUAAGUGUACAAGUUCUGUUAUACAUGUAGUUAUACUGUAAGUAGGUUUUGCAAAUAGGCAAAUUUCCAAUUUAUUAACAUAGUAUGUAUUCAUCCUUCUGUGGUCAAAUGUAUUCACAAAUAUACUAUAUCUUUACUGCCCUCAAUCAGCUAGAGCUGUGCCAAAUAUACCAAAUAUUUGAUUAUCAAACAAUUAUCCAAAUAACAUUUUCUUAAUUCAGAUAUUCAAAACAUGUGAGAGGUUGAGGAGAUGAUGCAAAGUCCAUAAUGCUCUUAUGAUUGCAUGAGUUGCGUAGUUUGAUUUUUGUUUUCAAUGAAGCACUUUUGUCCAAAUCCACUUUUGCAUAUGAUUUGGGAGCUCUAAGGAGAAGUCUAGCUCUAAUUUCUUUACAACUGAUAAAAUAUCAGCUGUUCUGCUUCUGCUUCUUGGUCAUGUUUGUAUUACAUGUACUUUAAGAGAUCUUUAUUAAUUUGACAACUGCAAGAGCAAGCAAAUUCCAAAUUAGAAUAUUAAAAUGCUAAAUUAUUCCUAAAUGCACAGCCCUAAAAUCUGCCCAAGGUAGGUAUGUACUGUGUAUAACUAAAAGUGUUAUCUAUAUGAUUUGAGUACUUAAAUCGUGAGAUGUUAAAUGGAAAAAAAAAAAUUUUUUGUAUAUUUUAUUCAAUAUUCAUGCAAUUUUGAUAUUGAAAAUAUUUUAAUUGACUGUUUUUGAGUGGGCACCUGUAUUAAGUAACACAUAGUAACAGACACAAAUUUCAUGACGUCACUGUGACUGGGUCUUAGUUGUUACAUCCAAUUGAAUGUCAGCGUAGUGAAUAGUAACACACAUGUAUGCAUUAAGAGCGCAGACGUGGGCUAAGCCUAAAUGCAACUCCAAAUGCGAUGCCAGAAAAUUUGGUCCAUAGACAUGACUGCCAAACCGAGAGAGAUGUUUGGGAGGGGGAUGGGCACUGUUGAAUAUAGCAAACAUUUCCACACUUAUAUGUAAUACAUGUUUGUUUGCAAGGUUGUACUCGCUUUGUAAUCACAAAACGUUCGGAUUCUAACAGCUUGUUUGUAUAUUUUUGUUGACUUCGGUGAAAGUUAUUGUGAAUACUGUUAUAUUUAAAGAGACUGAUGUACAAAAGUAUUACCAUAUUUACAUUCAUUAAUAUGUAGUUUAAAGGAAUAUAUUAUUUAAUUAUGAUUUUUUGAGUAAGCAGUAUUGUAGGAAGUAGUCAUAAUAUUGAAAUCAAUAGGGGCCUAUAACAUUAUAUACUGACAAUCGUACUUAAAGAUAAUUCCCUCUGCUAUUUUGAGUUUCAUCCUGUAAAAUGAUUUCUUUUCUAAACAGCGGUUUUUCUACGACAUCAGCAAAAAGGUCGGAUCACACUUAGUUAUUGAAUUAUUAGUUAAAAUAUUUCAAACUUUGUAUCCUGACAAUAAUUAUGUGUUCACCCGGAUCACCCCAAAUCAGUAACAAUGAUAUAUGGACCAGGAGUCUGCACGGCAGAUUUUUUUGUGCAAAUAUACAAACCUUUUUCAGAGGAUGUCUAACACCCAAAAAUGGGGGAUUUUCCUUGGUGAAUAUAACAUUACAAGUUGAAUAUUUAUUAGAGAAAAAAAUUACUGAAAAGUAAUGGAAACGCACCGUUAAACCUCAUCAUAAAGUGUCAUUAUUAUAUUGAUACUUUUUAUAUUUU